This 429-nucleotide ribosomal RNA is filed under the name Chloroflexota bacterium. Its description in RNAcentral is "Chloroflexi bacterium partial 16S ribosomal RNA". It matches the Rfam family "Bacterial small subunit ribosomal RNA", at positions 355 to 776 of the family's 1533-position model. Lineage: Bacteria; Bacillati; Chloroflexota. The record is from RNAcentral.
UGGGGAAUAUUGCACAAUGGGCGCAAGCCUGAUGCAGCCAUGCCGCGUGUAUGAAGAAGGCCUUCGGGUUGUAAAGUACUUUCAGCGGGGAGGAAGGGAGUAAAGUUAAUACCUUUGCUCAUUGACGUUACCCGCAGAAGAAGCACCGGCUAACUCCGUGCCAGCAGCCGCGGUAAUACGGAGGGUGCAAGCGUUAAUCGGAAUUACUGGGCGUAAAGCGCACGCAGGCGGUUUGUUAAGUCAGAUGUGAAAUCCCCGGGCUCAACCUGGGAACUGCAUCUAAUACUGGCAAGCUUGAGUCUCGUAGAGGGGGGUAGAAUUCCAGGUGUAGCGGUGAAAUGCGUAGAGAUCUGGAGGAAUACCGGUGGCGAAGGCGGCCCCCUGGACGAAGACUGACGCUCAGGCGCGAAAGCGUGGGGAGCAAACAGG